GAUGAACGCUGGCGGCGUGCCUAAUACAUGCAAGUCGAGCGAACAGACGAGGAGCUUGCUCCUCUGACGUUAGCGGCGGACGGGUGAGUAACACGUGGAUAACCUACCUAUAAGACUGGGAUAACUUCGGGAAACCGGAGCUAAUACCGGAUAAUAUAUUGAACCGCAUGGUUCAAUAGUGAAAGACGGUUUUGCUGUCACUUAUAGAUGGAUCCGCGCCGCAUUAGCUAGUUGGUAAGGUAACGGCUUACCAAGGCAACGAUGCGUAGCCGACCUGAGAGGGGGAUCGGCCACACUGGAACUGAGACACGGUCCAGACUCCUACGGGAGGCAGCAGUAGGGAAUCUUCCGCAAUGGGCGAAAGCCUGACGGAGCAACGCCGCGUGAGUGAUGAAGGUCUUCGGAUCGUAAAACGCUGUUAUUAGGGAAGAACAAAUGUGUAAGUAACUAUGCACGUCUUGACGGUACCUAAUCAGAAAGCCACGGCUAACUACGUG
Molecule: ribosomal RNA, 497 nt
Filed under: uncultured bacterium
Lineage: Bacteria
Description: partial 16S ribosomal RNA
Rfam family: Bacterial small subunit ribosomal RNA
Source: RNAcentral